AGUGAACGCUGGCGGUAGGCCUAACACAUGCAAGUCGAACGGCAGCACAGUAAGGGCUUGCUCUUACGGGUGGCGAGUGGCGGACGGGUGAGGAAUACAUCGGAACCUACUUUUUCGUGGGGGAUAACGUAGGGAAACUUACGCUAAUACCGCAUACGACCUACGGGUGAAAGCAGGGGAUCUUCGGACCUUGCGCGAUUGAAUGAGCCGAUGUCGGAUUAGCUAGUUGGCGGGGUAAAGGCCCACCAAGGCGACGAUCCGUAGCUGGUCUGAGAGGAUGAUCAGCCACACUGGAACUGAGACACGGUCCAGACUCCUACGGGAGGCAGCAGUGGGGAAUAUUGGACAAUGGGCGCAAGCCUGAUCCAGCCAUACCGCGUGGGUGAAGAAGGCCUUCGGGUUGUAAAGCCCUUUUGUUGGGAAAGAAAAGCAGCAGGUUAAUACCCCGCUGUUCUGACGGUACCCAAAGAAUAAGCACCGGCUAACUUCGUG
RNAcentral lists this ribosomal RNA (492 nucleotides) under uncultured bacterium. RNAcentral's name for it is "partial 16S ribosomal RNA". It matches the Rfam family "Bacterial small subunit ribosomal RNA", at positions 29 to 507 of the family's 1533-position model. The record is from RNAcentral.